GGUGGGCCCGCGUCUGAUUAGCUAGUUGGCGGGGCAACGGCCCACCAAGGCGACGAUCAGUAGCCGGCCUGAGAGGGUGGGCGGCCACAUUGGGACUGAGACACGGCCCAAACUCCUACGGAAGGCAGCAG
This 131-nucleotide ribosomal RNA is filed under the name uncultured bacterium. Its description in RNAcentral is "partial 16S ribosomal RNA". It matches the Rfam family "Bacterial small subunit ribosomal RNA", at positions 224 to 354 of the family's 1533-position model. The record is from RNAcentral.